Molecule: ribosomal RNA, 495 nt
Filed under: Salmonella enterica
Lineage: Bacteria; Pseudomonadati; Pseudomonadota; Gammaproteobacteria; Enterobacterales; Enterobacteriaceae
Also listed under: 1 other name
Description: partial 23S ribosomal RNA
Rfam family: Bacterial large subunit ribosomal RNA
Source: RNAcentral
GAAUGCUGACAUAAGUAACGAUAAAGCGGGUGAAAAGCCCGCUCGCCGGAAGACCAAGGGUUCCUGUCCAACGUUAAUCGGGGCAGGGUGAGUCGACCCCUAAGGCGAGGCCGAAAGGCGUAGUCGAUGGGAAACGGGUUAAUAUUCCCGUACUUGGUGUUACUGCGAAGGGGGGACGGAGAAGGCUAUGUUGGCCGGGCGACGGUUGUCCCGGUUUAAGCGUGUAGGUGUGUGUUCCAGGUAAAUCCGGUUCACUUUAACACUGAGGCGUGACGACGAGGCACUACGGUGCUGAAGCAACAAAUGCCCUGCUUCCAGGAAAAGCCUCUAAGCAUCAGGUAACACGAAAUCGUACCCCAAACCGACACAGGUGGUCAGGUAGAGAAUACCAAGGCGCUUGAGAGAACUCGGGUGAAGGAACUAGGCAAAAUGGUGCCGUAACUUCGGGAGAAGGCACGCUGACACGUAGGUGAAGUGAUUUACUCAUGGAGCUGA